This is a long non-coding RNA of Cyprinus carpio carpio, 827 nucleotides long. The record is from Ensembl. NCBI's taxonomy places the organism in Eukaryota, Metazoa, Chordata, Actinopteri, Cypriniformes, Cyprinidae.
GGGAUCCAUCUUAUUGAUGUUUGUUUUUUGUUGUAAUUGUAUACUCCCACAAGAAAGGAGUGGCAUGGCUCGAUGAACAUUGGUAGAGGAUUAUGAUAAACCCUGCAAAGGACUUUUCCAUCUUUUUCCAUUUCAUCUGUGAUCUCACAGCCAUUUUCAUUGAUCAAGAAGGCUUUGUCCUUGGCACUUGAAGUUUUUUUCUCUCUGUGUAUUUCAAGAGGAGAUAGCUGCCUUUCCUCUAUCCUCUUGGCGACCUGUCUCAAAGGGUGUUUUCCACUUCGCACCAUCCUCUUCAUGGUAUGCAGCUGGUCUUUGUAUGGAAGCCACCAUGAUCUAGUUGUCUAGUUGUCUCUUCUCCCACAAACUCCACUUUCAGGAGCUCCUGCAAGCUGGUGGUCAUAUUGGUGAAUGAGAAUGGAGGAGAUUUGCAGACCCCCAUUGAGAUGUUUCCCUUCCUUCUGAGCUGAUUACAGAUGUUUCACUGCUGUCAUUGGCAUGAUUAUCAUCUGACAAGAAUAUUGUGUAAUUUCUAUGCUUGUGCCAUGAUUGUCCUUUGAACUUGAAUAUUUGUAUUCAUUUGUUCUGGUUUUUGUGUUUUUCACCACUGUCCUUUUUUAAUACAUAUUAAUUGAUAAUGUCCUAUACUGCUGUAGUAUUUACACAUUUUGAGAAUUGCAUAACACAAAUCAGUGACUGUACUUUUUUUGUGUGUGUGUGUGUGGUGUGAAGAACUAAAUGUGUCAUGGUAAAUUAAAUAUGUUAAUAAGAGGGUUUCUGUGUUUCAUGCAACAUUAUUGUAUGAAGUAGCUAAACUUAACUAAGUAAAC